UUGUGUUUCUGGUGCUGCAAUUAAUUUUUGCCAUAACAAUGAAACAACAGAGAAACAUAAUUCCUGUUUCUCUGCAAGAACAGAUCUUAGCAGAGCUUGUGCACUGCGGUUGCAUCCUCCAUUUCGAUCCAUUGUGAGAAAGUUCGCUAAAUCUGUUGCAUCCAUUCGCAGACUUGCUAUAUUUUUCCCUGAUCUAUCUACAAUAACAUCAUUUAAUAUAAUUUCACAUGUUAAAAAUGCUCGUGAAGAACUAUCCUUAGACUCUGAUGACGAAGGAUCCUUUAAUUCAGAGAUGCUGCAACUUGCAGAACUGGAUUGUCCUCUGACACUGAAAUGCACCAGAUCAUCCUUCCGUACUGGCACAUGCACCAAGUGUGCCUCAAGGGGUUCUGCCUUGUCAACUAUGGAGGCAACCAUUUUUCCAUGUAUGUCAAUAAGGUGAUAAAGAGAAGAUGCCCUAGUAGAAAUCUCAGUGUCCCACUUGCAAUGCAUUAGAACAGAGAGAGCAUUCAUGCAGACUUUGGAACGUCCAAAUAACUCAGAAACAUGAGCAGCAACCAUAGCUGCAGCCACUAUCUCAUUGGAACUGUAACUCCAUGAUGUACCAACAGAUGAUGGCUUCAAUGAGAAAAGGGCUUCCAGAAUUCCGAGGAUUCUACGAGUGUGACAAACAGCAGAAAAAACACUAUUCUGUAGCUCAUUAAACACACCAUUAGUUUUUAAUGUUUUGGUCAUCUUUGCAGAAUUUUUAGAAUCUGAAUGUGUACCAUUUUUCGAAACCAAAGGGCACAGUUGAAGUUCACAAGCCAGAGCACAUACAGCAGCCAGCACAUAGGAAUCAAAUGUUGCAACGGGCCCUUGUUUUCUCUUGUUUCUGUUUUUUUUAGGUGCUUUCCCGUUAAUUAUCUGUGGCCCCUCAAAGUUCUCAUCAAGCAAAAGUCUGUCACUACCUGCUGGUCUUUUACUCCCAUUGGGCAAAGCCUCGUGACUGACGCAAACGGUUAGCACGACGAACAAUAGGCGGGAGGCAAGGUCCGUGGAUGCACAAGAUUCCAGAAAUAGUGAAUGAAUCAUUGUAUGAAGCUCAGCAACAGCAAGGUUCUUCAUUGUAGACCAUAUACUGCCAUGAGCUCUUGAUUUUCUUUGUUGAUCACCAGAGGUUUCUGGUGGAAAGGUUCUUCGCAGUAUAGCUUCUACAGUAGCCACAAAGAUCCUCAUGAGGCAUGCUUCAGAUGGGCUUCCACGUGGGAGAUACUCCAAUACUUUUAGAAGUGGCAAGUACAAAUUCCAAGACAAGGUAGGAGGUUGCAAUGGGGUUGCAACUACAAUUUCUGGCAAAUCAACAGCCGAGGAACUCAGAGGAAGCAGGCCAUAUGCAGCUUCCCAUAUGGUGCAUAUUCUCCAUUCAACAUCAGGACCAUGGGCACAUAGCAUAGAAGCAAUUCCUUGUGCAGUUGCCUCAACAGUGGCUUCAGAUGCAGGAACUUCUAGCUGAUCCAAUUUCAAUAAGCAUGGAUGGAUGUUAGGCAUAAAACAAGCAACAUAAGCUAGCUGAGUCAGCAUAUUCUUAAAGCAGAUUUCGGGCACAUGGACAAAUAAAUCAUGGUAGUCAAUAAUUCAAAAAAUAUGAAACUGGUAAUAGUACAAAUCCUUGACUCUUAAGUGAAAAAAAUGCCAAUAAUGCAAAACGACUUAAAUUACCUGUUUUUUAUAGGAUGAUAUGUAGCCACCUAGAGGUUCAUGCUGGACUUGAACUCCUUCAGCAUGUCUUAGUGGAGGAAAAAGCAACGCAGGCUGUGAGAGUAUGCGGAAAAGUAAAGCAGCUGCAGCAUCUGCUGCAAUACCAGCUCUCAUGGACAUUGCAGUGCCAAUUGCUCGCAAGAAAUGCAAAUGCAUCCAAUUUCUUGGAAGCUACAAUAUGAAGAACAAGAAAUUCAAUGACUAUAUACUUUGCAAUCAGAAAUACUUCAUUGACUUAAUCAGCUAUAGUGAUGCCACCUUUUCUCGUGGAACAGGAUGCCACAUUUUGGAUGCUAAAUGGAAAACAAUAUAAAAUAUGAAGAAAAAUUUGUACUCACACUUUAUUUAUACAUAAAUAAAAUUUAGAAAUGUUAUACAUCAAAAUUCAUGGAGAUGCUGUACAGCAUACUUACCAGUUACCCCAAAAUUAGAAUAAUUGUAAAAUAAUAAAGGAAGAAAUAAUCUUUUAUCUCUGUCUCCACAGGGCAAGGGUGGAGAGAGAGAGAGAGAGAUUCACCAGUGGUAAUAUACAAAGAAGAUAUAUACCAAAGUACCUACAUUUCCAUUUGUUAAAUUUGGUGGUUAACCUAUUACGCAAAAUAUAUGUACAGUGGGUUGUAAGUGAUUCUUUAUAUUAGGGCAACAAUGUAAAGUAUUCCAUAUAUAGAAUAUAUCUAAAACCCUUCUUUAAACUUACUGGGAAUCUACUACCAAAGAGUUUGCUAAGAAGGUAUUGAAUACGGCCAGUAUUAUGGGCCUUCAUCAAAAAACCCAUAAGCUGCAUCGUAGAUGAUACAUACAGAAGGGAGAUGCGGUAUGAGGAUGAAACCAGCUAAUGUAGUGGAAAUUAUCUAGAUGGGCUGUGUCAUUCAUGGAAAUAGGAAUAGCCUAAUCUAGGUUAUAUUCUGAUUGUCACAAUAUAAGUGAUUAGACCUCUAAGUUCCAGCAUUCACGAAGCGAUUAUAGUAGGCAAAUGGUCAAGGUACUUCCUGCAUGGUGCCUAAAUGGUAUGCAGCUACUUACUGCUGAUCAUUAUUGAAUAAAUGUUAGACGAUAUAUAAAUUUAUAGUAAUAUAUAAUGGAAUAAAAAAAUAGAAAUAUCUCAAUAGAAAUCAGGAAAAAAUAAGAAAAAUUAUAGAGUUCGAGGGAUGCAUAUCUAGAGAUUGGGCUUAUACCGGCCACAAGGGUACCCACUACGCAACUUGAAAGCUACAUGCAAACAUAGACUAGAAACUAUGCAGGGUGGUGAGGAGGCUGCACAUGCAUAUGCAAUCACAUAGACUGCUUUUUAAACAGUACUAAAAAUGAAUGUCCACAACUUAGGAUGGUGCAACCAAACAACAUCCACAGUUAAGUGACAUCUAGAAGUAGCGACUAGAGUGGUCAGUGGUGCUUGAUAGGAUGCAGGAGUACAAAUGAGUCUCAUCAGCCAGUUCAAAUAUUGCCAACUCCAAAUGCAAUAGAGGAGGACUACGAAUCAGUCCCUGAAUAGGCUUGAACUUAGGGUGAACCCAUUAGUGAUCAUGGCACCAAUAAUAUAUUUUGGCUGCAUAAGGAAAGACUGGAUCCCAGAGUCAGCAGCUCAUGUUGGUGUUGGAACAUUAGAGCACAAAACUCUUGCAUCAAUUGUUCAACCAGUUAUAUAAAACAGAAUAACUGCUGCCCACAAACCCCAAUCAACACUACAAACCCCUCUCAAUUGCUAUAGGCAGGACAGAUAGUCUGAAAUCUUCUAAGCUAUCAAAAAGUUGGCAAGCUGGGGACAUAUGGACGAUCAAAUGAUGUCAUCAAAUACAACUAGAUAAUUUUAACUUAGAAAAGGC
RNAcentral lists this long non-coding RNA (3563 nucleotides) under Phoenix dactylifera (date palm). RNAcentral describes it as "long non-coding RNA (PDAC_LNC002317)". Lineage: Eukaryota; Viridiplantae; Streptophyta; Magnoliopsida; Arecales; Arecaceae. The record is from RNAcentral.